This 484-nucleotide ribosomal RNA is filed under the name Filifactor villosus. RNAcentral describes it as "bacterial SSU rRNA". It matches the Rfam family "Bacterial small subunit ribosomal RNA", at positions 9 to 494 of the family's 1533-position model. Lineage: Bacteria; Bacillati; Bacillota; Clostridia; Peptostreptococcales; Filifactoraceae. The record is from RNAcentral.
GAGUUUGAUUCUGGCUCAGGAUGAACGCUGGCGGCGUGCUUAACACAUGCAAGUCGAACGGGCGAAUUAUAUCGGAGGUCUUCGGGCCGAAGAGAUAAUAAGCUAGUGGCGGACGGGUGCGUAACGUGUGGGUAAUCUGCCUUUGUCAUAGGAAUAACUGCUUGAAAAAGUAGCUAAUACCAAAUAACAUAUCGUAUAGGCAUCUAUAAGAUAUCAAAGAGAAAUCGGACAAAGAUGAGCCCGCAUCUGAUUAGCUAGUUGGUAGGGUAAAAGCCUACCAAGGCGACGAUCAGUAGCCGGCCUGAGAGGGUGAACGGCCACAUUGGAACUGAGACACGGUCCAAACUCCUACGGGAGGCAGCAGUGGGGAAUAUUGCACAAUGGGGGGAACCCUGAUGCAGCAACGCCGCGUGAGUGAAGAAGGCUUUCGAGUCGUAAAACUUCUGUUGUAAGGGAAGAUAAUGACCGUACCUAAAGANGCCNG